UAACAAAGUUGCUUGGGACUUGCUCUCACCAUCUUGUGCUGCCCUCCCCAAACUUCUGCAAACCCGGAGCUCUAGACCACACAGAUUCCCUUUAAGAGAGCCCUGUGAGGACAUUGGUGAAAGGUCACUGCCUUAAGGACACACCAUGGAACACAGUGAUGGUAGCAGCUCUCCUCAAGGAGAAAAUAAAGGUGGAGAUUCUUCCCAGGGGAAUUUUGGAAAGGAGAACUUUCAUGAUGAACAUGAUGGCAACCCCUCUACCUUACAACCCAAUAGUAGGAGUGUGAAAUGCCAUAGUGAAUACCAAGAUAGAAUUCCGC
Molecule: long non-coding RNA, 320 nt
Filed under: Rhinopithecus bieti (black snub-nosed monkey)
Lineage: Eukaryota; Metazoa; Chordata; Mammalia; Primates; Cercopithecidae
Description: lncRNA (ENSRBIG00000045366.1)
Source: RNAcentral